RNAcentral lists this ribosomal RNA (629 nucleotides) under Staphylococcus equorum. Its description in RNAcentral is "bacterial SSU rRNA". It matches the Rfam family "Bacterial small subunit ribosomal RNA", at positions 110 to 725 of the family's 1533-position model. The record is from RNAcentral. Lineage: Bacteria; Bacillati; Bacillota; Bacilli; Caryophanales; Staphylococcaceae.
GUAACACGUGGGGUAACCUACCUAUAAGACUGGAAUAACUUCGGGAAACCGGAGCUAAUGCCGGAUAACAUUUGGAACCGCAUGGUUCUAAAGUAAAAGAUGGUUUUGCUAUCACUUAUAGAUGGACCCGCGCCGUAUUAGCUAGUUGGUAAGGUAACGGCUUACCAAGGCAACGAUACGUAGCCGACCUGAGAGGGUGAUCGGCCACACUGGAACUGAGACACGGUCCAGACUCCUACGGGAGGCAGCAGUAGGGAAUCUUCCGCAAUGGACGAAAGUCUGACGGAGCAACGCCGCGUGAGUGAUGAAGGUUUUCGGAUCGUAAAACUCUGUUAUUAGGGAAGAACAAAUGUGUAAGUAACUGUGCACAUCUUGACGGUACCUAAUCAGAAAGCCACGGCUAACUACGUGCCAGCAGCCGCGGUAAUACGUAGGUGGCAAGCGUUAUCCGGAAUUAUUGGGCGUAAAGCGCGCGUAGGCGGUUUCUUAAGUCUGAUGUGAAAGCCCACGGCUCAACCGUGGAGGGUCAUUGGAAACUGGGAAACUUGAGUACAGAAGAGGAAAGUGGAAUUCCAUGUGUAGCGGUGAAAUGCGCAGAGAUAUGGAGGAACACCAGUGGCGAAGGCGAC